UACGAAGGGGGCUAGCGUUGUUCGGAAUCACUGGGCGUAAAGGGCGCGUAGGCGGCCGCUCAAGUCGGGGGUGAAAGCCUGUGGCUUAACCACAGAAUUGCCUUCGAUACUGUUUGGCUUGAGACCGGAAGAGGUGAGUGGAACUGCGAGUGUAGAGGUGAAAUUCGUAGAUAUUCGCAAGAACACCAGUGGCGAAGGCGGCUCACUGGCCCGAUACUGACGCUGAGGCACGAAAGCGUGGGGAGCAAACAGG
This 253-nucleotide ribosomal RNA is filed under the name uncultured bacterium. Its description in RNAcentral is "partial 16S ribosomal RNA". It matches the Rfam family "Bacterial small subunit ribosomal RNA", at positions 524 to 776 of the family's 1533-position model. The record is from RNAcentral.